Non-coding RNA from Phrynosoma platyrhinos (Desert horned lizard), 70 nucleotides. Lineage: Eukaryota; Metazoa; Chordata; Lepidosauria; Squamata; Phrynosomatidae. The record is from the annotation of a GenBank genome assembly.
GCCAGUGUGGCGUAGUGGUUUGAGUGCUAAACUAGGAUUCUGGAGACCAGGGUUCGAAUCCCCACUGUUU